GACAUUGAGGGAUCUUGAGCCUUGGACAUUACGUGAUAUUCCUAAUAUUUCAAAGUAUUACAUUGUUUAUCUUAAGAAAUUUAGACUGAAAUUGACUGGAGAAACUAAUCAAAACUAUCAUCACAUCCCAGCAAAAAACUGAAGUGCCAGGUGAGAAUGCAAUGAGAAAGCGCAGCCAUGUGCUAUCCGGGAAGAGGGCUUUUGCCACAAACUGACUGUGUUGGUACCCUUAUCUCCAGCCCUCAGCCUCAAGAACUUUAAACUCAGAAAAUAACAGUUCUUGGCACUUCAGCACUUCAUAUCAUCUCGAAGGUGAGCCUAAGAAUCUCACAGAGCACACAGACAUGAGUCAGAAUCCAUACCCUGAGCUUCUCAGGAACUGUCCCAACAUAAUCCAGGCAGAAGAAUGGCUACCUCUCU
Long non-coding RNA from Hyaena hyaena (striped hyena), 420 nucleotides. RefSeq lists it as uncharacterized. The record is from RefSeq and is a predicted model, not a curated record. The transcript has 3 exons. NCBI's taxonomy places the organism in Eukaryota, Metazoa, Chordata, Mammalia, Carnivora, Hyaenidae.